Molecule: non-coding RNA, 563 nt
Organism: Gopherus evgoodei (Goodes thornscrub tortoise)
Lineage: Eukaryota; Metazoa; Chordata; Testudines; Testudinidae
Source: the annotation of a RefSeq genome assembly
UUUGCAAGAUUAUUAAACAACAAAUUGUUAAAACAGCUAUGCUGCUCUCUUUCUCCUUCCUGGUUUUGAUAUUUUUUUGUUCAAAAAGGACAGAUGCAGACUCAGUAACUCAGCCCGAAGGCACCGUUAUCAUCCAUGAAGGAAAAUCUGUGCUUCUUUAUUGCACCUAUGAUUACUCUGGGUCUCCUGUACUCUACUGGUAUGCGCAGUAUCCCCAUGAAGUCCCUAGCCUGUUGCUGACACAAUAUGGAACCUCGGACGAGGAGGAGAAGAGAUGCAGGCGAGGGUUCUCUGCUAAACUGGAGGAAAACUCCAAAUCCUUCCACCUGGAGAAAAACUCCAGCGAAGUGAGCGACUCUGCUGUCUAUUACUGCGCCUUGAGAGACACAGUGAGCAAAGCCACCUGGGAGCUGAACAAAAACCUCCCUGACUGAUAGAAACACAAAAGGCUGAAAUAGCUGAGAUUUCGCUUGUCAAGACCUCAGAGUGUAAUCUCUGUUCCUUAAUAUCUUUGUUUUAUUCUUCACCUUCUCCCCCCCACACGCGUUUUUUUUUACCUUAGC